AAAUUGAAGAGUUUGAUCAUGGCUCAGAUUGAACGCUGGCGGCAGGCCUAACACAUGCAAGUCGAGCGGAAACGAGAAGUAGCUUGCUACUUCGGCGUCGAGCGGCGGACGGGUGAGUAAUGCCUGGGAAAUUGCCUUGAUGUGGGGGAUAACCAUUGGAAACGAUGGCUAAUACCGCAUAAUGCUUUUGUUUGUAAUGAACGG
Molecule: ribosomal RNA, 204 nt
Filed under: Vibrio pectenicida
Lineage: Bacteria; Pseudomonadati; Pseudomonadota; Gammaproteobacteria; Vibrionales; Vibrionaceae
Description: partial 16S ribosomal RNA
Rfam family: Bacterial small subunit ribosomal RNA
Source: RNAcentral